UACGUAGGGUGCAGGCGUUAAUCGGAAUUACUGGGCGUAAAGCGUGCGCAGGCGGUCUGCUAAGAGAGAUGUGAAAUCCCCGGGCUUAACCUGGGAACUGCGUUUCUAACUGGCAGGCUUGAGUGUGGCAGAGGGGGGUGGAAUUCCACGUGUAGCAGUGAAAUGCGUAGAGAUGUGGAGGAACACCGAUGGCGAAGGCAGCCCCCUGGGCUAACACUGACGCUCAGACACGACAGCAUGGGGAGCGAACGGG
RNAcentral lists this ribosomal RNA (253 nucleotides) under uncultured bacterium. RNAcentral's name for it is "partial 16S ribosomal RNA". It matches the Rfam family "Bacterial small subunit ribosomal RNA", at positions 524 to 776 of the family's 1533-position model. The record is from RNAcentral.